Molecule: non-coding RNA, 6568 nt
Organism: Podarcis lilfordi (Lilford's wall lizard)
Lineage: Eukaryota; Metazoa; Chordata; Lepidosauria; Squamata; Lacertidae
Source: the annotation of a GenBank genome assembly
GGAGACAGGAGAGAACGCAAGUGAAAGGAAGAAGACAGAGUCUGCAGCUGGAGAGUCUGGGGAGAGGGGAAAAACCAAAGAAAAAAACUAAAACUGGGAUGGAGAUAUACUGGCACCUUAGGGAGAUCUGUGGGGAAAGCUGAGAAGAUGCAGCUUGGAAGUCAAGGGGGAAGCCUUGCAGUCUAGAGCCAUGAAAGAGAUUUCUAGAACACUGAAGCAGACCUAGAAAAGGAGCUCAGAAGACCCUGCCUGGAAAACUUGGCACAGACAUGAAGCCUUAGAAACCAGGCACAAGCUUGCCAUCAGGUUCCAGGCAGUGAUCUGUCAUGUGAGAACAGGGGUAUCCCAUGUACGUAUAAGUGUUCCUUUUUGUAUCUGUAACAUGUGGAUGAUAUGUAUACAGGAAUAGUAGAACUGGUCCAAUUUUAGUGAAAGGAAUAUAGAAUCCAGGAGACUGGGUCUUUCUAGCCCCAUAUUGUUUGCACACUGAUUGGCAGCAGCUGUUCAGAGUUUCGGACAGGCAUCUUUCCCAGUCCUGCUCUGCCACUGAGCUGUGGCUUAGUGGCUCUUCUACUAUAGGACCCAUGUUCUAUUGGUAAAUUGAAAUAUCAAAGCUACUGCCUCUGAACUUGAUUCCUAUUCCCACACCUUAUACAGUGGUACCUCGGGUUAAGAACUUAAUUCGUUCUGGAGGUCUGUUCUUAACCUGAAACUGUUCUUAACCUGAAGCACCACUUUAGCUAAUAGGGCCUCCCGCUGCCGCCGCGCCGCUGCUGCACGAUUUCUGUUCUCAUCCUGAAGCAAAGUUCUUAACCCAAGGUACUAUUUGUAGGUUAGCGGAGUCUGUAACCUGAAGCGUAUGUAACCUGAAGCGUCUGUAACCCAAGGUACCACUGUAACUGUGGCGAAUAGUGUUGAUUAUUCACUGGUGAAGAAAACAGGACUUUCACACAGAUACUCUGCUCUCCAGGCGAGCUGCAAGUUAUGGUGAGCUUUUUUUAACAAAAUAAAUUACAGCAUGCCUUAUUUCUAAGUAAUGUAUCACAUUUAGCCUGUGGCGAACAUCUGAAAUGUACCCAGAGAGAAAGAAUGGCUUUUGCAACGUAAUUCUUGGCUUGCACAUUUGCCUCGCUAGUGACGACCAUUUCCUCCUCUUGUUAAACUGAAUGGCAAAAUUCCCAUUCAUGUCCACUGGGAGCAGAAUCGGAACCAGUCUGUGUAUCCUGGACAUUUUUAAAAGGUAAAAGGCUUCCAGCUUGACUGACAUAUACAGUGUCUUAUUUCCCAUAUACCUUGUGUUUUGUCAGUCUCGUGCUAGGAUUGAUAUCCUUCUCCUAGAACAAUUGCUCUUUGGGGACACAAAGUCACCUCAAAAGCCUUGCAUAGUACAUUAGCAGAAAGGCAAAACAAUAACCGUUGCAUCAAAAAUAAUAUUUUCCAUUUUCAUUGUGGAGCUGUCAGCUAUUCCUGAGAAACACGGAUAUGGAUUUUUUAAAUGAAAAACACAUGUCAAAUCCCAGCAUGCAUGCCUUGUUUAUGCGUUCUUGCAAAAUAACUACUGAAAGGACCAAUCUCCAGAAACUGCCUGAUGGGACAUUAUCAGCCCGUAGUAUGCCAAAGGCACCUUUAAACAUGUGUUCACGGUGCAAUUGCCUUUUUCUCAAUAGGCAACUAGGCACUUGAAAUGCAUUUUUCAGACAAUGGCCAGUAUCUUCACAAAGUGAUGACUGCUGUGUCAAAACUAUUGUAGUUUGGACUGGUCCUACUGGUCCUGGCCUGAGGAGUUUUGUCCUUCACCACCAUCUUUCUGGUGUCCCUGCUUGUGAUUUUACAAAUGAUUUCUGGCUUUCACUAAAGGAUUAAUUUUAAAUUCUGUACUCCAAAAUCCAAACCAUGUACAAAAAAAAAAAUGAGCAAAGUGCAAUUUGUGAAUGAUGUGUAAUAGCUAAAAUCAUAUGGUUUGUAAGCAGCAUUUGCUAUCUUUUUCCUGGCUUGAUUUACACACAUUCCAGCAAUUCAACAUAUCCUGUACUUGUGAACCAGUUACUGAGUACAUAAUAUAACAUAUAUAUUGAACAGCAGUUAUAUUGCAACAUUUAGUUCAAAUGGUUCCUAUGGCACCUUACAGAAACAAAUCAUAAGGUAGUCCCUGCCCUCAGGUUUACAAUAAGAAAAGAUACUAAACAUGAAGAAGAAGGGGUGGGGCAGGGGGAAGCAAGCUCAAGAACCAUUUUUUUAAAAGAUAUAGGUCUUGUAACACAUAGUUCUGUCUAAGAUUCUGGCUUUCUAGGAAAGCAACAAUUCCACAGAAAAAGAUUUCCCCACCCCAAUCAGAUUUAAGAGCAAAACAGCAGACCCUCCAAUUGGACAUCCGUGAUUUAGAGAAGCCGUUCCGGUUUCCAUUUUGAUCCUAGAAUUCCUAUUGCCAUCAAGCCAGCAGUUAGAGAGGAUGGAGUUAUUUGACCCCUGAGCAGUCUGAAGGCAAUCCUGUAUAGGGAAGUGUUUGGGGUUUUUUUCAUUUUUAAUGUUUUGUUAUGUUUUUAUAUGUAUUGGAAGCUGCCCAGAGUGGGUGGGGCAACCCAGUAAGAAAGUAUAAACAGUAAAAUUAUCAUUAUGGAAUGGGACAUCCCUAUUUUUAUCAGAGAAAUGUUGGAGGGUAUGAAACAGGGGAUAAUGUCCAGGCCAGGAGAGCAGGGAUGCUCCUAACAUACCAUUGUUUUUCCUCUCUAACUGCUGGCUUGAUGGCAAUAGGAAUUGUCACAGAAGGGGUUCUGAUGGAGUUGUCCUCCUCCCUCACAUUAGUGAACAGCAGCUCUGUUGGUUCUGGGCAACCCUUUCCUGGAGGCACCUGCCCGCUCUGCCCCCAGAUCAGAGCCAGGAGCAGAGCAGAUGAUGUCUAUGUCAGGAAGACAGGGCUGCUCCUACCACACAGUUCUUUUCUCAGACAUCUAACAUCUGAAGCAAUCCUACAACUCCUGCCAACCUUUGGUUAUUUUGAUGUGGUCUAUCCCUGGCUUUGAUUUUGGUUGUGCUCUAGGAUUCUGGCACACAUUGGCCUAAGCUUCUUUGAUGAAGAGAUGAAGCUUAUAAGUAGCAUAAAGUUCCAUAAAGUCACUUGAGGUGUGAUAGCUUUAGAAAACAGCCACUUCCAAGUACAUACUCCCCAUGCAUAUAAUUAUUACAUAAUGUGUAAUUACGUGAACUUAGUGCAAAUGCCUAGAUAAACUAAGGUUCCUGAAUCCCACUCCAGGACCACAUUAAAAGGAAGCAAAGGCCAAUGCCUCAAAAACCAGAGCUGCUUCCUAAGCUCCUUCCACCAGCCUUCCAGACUCUACCCACAAGCUCUUCAAGAAAUAGUUUGGAGCAGCAUAUUUCCAGGCAUCCCUUCAAAAAUGUUGUCUUCAUAAAGAGUCGAUACUGGCUCAUGAUCCGGCACCACAGACAAAGAUAUUUGCUUUCCCUUUUUCUAACAUUUGUAUACAGAAAUACGUUACAAGGAAGCAGCAGGAGAAGCAGUAGCUUGAUUUUGCACGUCUUUUCAGGCUUUCUGGGUGACAUGCAAAGAAAGAGCACAAACAUUUGAACUCAUGUGUUUCUCCUUGGUUGGGAAACAAGAUGAACAAGUCAUGUGUGCUUCUGCUGUCAUAAUUACUUCCUUGUAACAUAUGAGUCCAUCCUCAUUUCUGGCCAAUCAAGCACAUCUUAGCAAUAGAAAGAUUCUGCUCAAGUUGGGCAGAAAGUAGAAUUCUCUGUUUCUCAGCUCCAGAUCAAUCUUUGCCUUCAUUUGAGUGUUUCAUUGCCCAUGAAUUUUCAGAGACCUUAACAGAUCAUUUGUCGGAACUUUCAGAAGUUCUUUAUGCCAGCAUAUUUUGAGAGAAAUCAUGGCAUGAACUGAGACAAUCCACUGGCAGUGAAGAAUUCAAAGCCUGCUUUUCUCCCUCCCCAUUUUGGAAGCCUCUUUUCUGCCAGCAAAUUUUUAGAGCUUUCUGCUCAGGCCGAUACUAUUUCCAGCACAGCUAACAGCUGAUAGCCAAGACCAAGACCAAUCUGAAUUUGCACCAACACCCAUCAUGGAUUAAGUUAAAUUUGUGUCAUUAACAUGCCAUGUAUUUGUUUUGUAACUACCGUGUGCCGCCACAUGGACUUUUUUACUCUCAUUCCCAAACUGCAGCCUUUACCCCCAGACUCAUUAAAACUCCUAGUGCAUAUUUCUACAUUAAAGCACUGGAUAUGAAAUCAUGUACCAGGGGAGAAGUGUAAAGUUAAGUUUAAUCAUCCACAGCUUGGGUGAUCACAGAAUGACAUCACAUUCUAGCACAGCCCUAUUCAAACUACUGCAGAAGUUAAAAACCAUGCAUAAUUUGAAAGUUUCCAAAUAUCAUGCUUUCAGCAUGGUUCAGCUUGAAUUCAGCCUAAGCAAUCUACACCACAGAUAUUAAUACCUUCAGCCUCACUAGACAGCAUAAGCAAAUUGGACUGAGUCAAUCAAAAUGGCAGCCUCAGAAUUUGUAAAAUUUUGCACAGUGUCAUUCCCAUUUACCAUUUUAAUUUCAAAUUACUUUUUGAUAUCCACUCCAUCUGUGACGGCUACUUUAACUUUAAAGUUUUAUAACUCAGUUGCUUUUUGGCACUUGGUUCACAGUCUGGUAGUUUCAAUGUGUUUCCAAAGCUGCGAAUGUUUGGCGACUUGCCAAUCUUCUCCAGCCAGACGACACUCCAUUUAUGCCAGGGGCCCCAUUCACUUCUGGGUAAUCUUCUGGGGGCAACAUGCCAGUGAUUGGCAGGUCCAGAUGCAAAAGUGGGCAGAGCAAUGAUGGGGAGAGCUUGGGAUGGGGUGUUACUUGGAGAAAAUCUUGAAGGUCAGAUAGAGAGAACUGGUUCCUUACCCGCAAUUUAUUAAAUAAUCUCUACUUUCCCCUCAAUGGGACGCGGGUGGCACUGUGGGUUAAACCACAGAGCCUAGGACUUGCCAAUUAGAAGGUCAGCGGUUCGAAUCCCCGCAAUGGGGUGAGCUCUCAUUGCUUGGUCCCUGCUCCUGCCAACCUAGCAGUUCGAAAGCACAUCAAAGUGCAAGUAGAUAAAUAGGUACCACUCCGGCGGGAAGGUAAAUGGUGUUUCCGUGCGUUGCUCUGGUUUGCCAGAAGCGGCUUAGUCAUGCUGGCCACAUGACCCGGAAGCUGUACACCGGCUCCCUCAGCCAAUAAAGCGAGAUGAGCACCGCAACCCCAGAGUCGGUCACGACUGGACCUAAUGGUCAGGGGUCCCUUUACCUUUACCUUACUAUCCCCUCAGAGAGAACAAAAAAUCCCUACACAUUCACAGCUUCAGGUCUGAUAUUCUGCUUGGCUGGGGGCCCCAUUAAAAAUACAAUCAGCCAAGGUGGGGUAAGGACAAGCACACUUCUAGGUGACUGAAAUUCUUGCUUAAGAUGAGAGAUUUGUGGAUAGGGGUGGAGGAUGCUAUCCAAGGACUUCCUCAACUAUUCGUACAGUUUAAGCAACAGGAGGAUGGGAUAUAUCGUCCCUCUCCUAUUGAUUCAAGCUUAGGUAUUCAGAUGAGCUCUAAAAUCCCAGUAUCUUUGGGAGUAAUAAAGAUCUGGUGUCCUUCCCUAUAUGCCAUUCUCAGAGUGGCCUUCUACCUGGUAUUUCUGCAAAGCUCAAUUACAGCUGGCAAAGCCACCUUUAUAUUUCACUGCCUUCACCACCAGCCACAAAAAUCCCUUUGAAGCCCAUUGUCUAGGACUGCUUUUUAUUACAGUUCUUAUCAACUUGUUUUCAUCACAGUUUUUCUGCAACAUAGCUUGGCUUGAUGGUGGGUGGGACCAGUGGCUCCACUGAGAAACCCCACAGGGAAGGCACCCAAGCUCCUAUGUAAAGCAUGUAGUUUUAUAUAAGUAGCAGGGAUCAGCUCCAACAUAUAUUUUUAGUGCAAUGGAACCCAUGGAAAAAGUGGAGAUGAAAGCACUCCUAAGCAGGCGCAGGGUAGGGAAGGACUGUAGCUCUAUGGUAGAGCAUCUUCCUUGCAUGCAGAAGGUCCCAGGUUCCACCAGUGAUGCCUCCAGGUACGGCUGGGGGAAAUAUCCUGUCUGAAACCCUGGAAAGCUAUUGCCAGAAUGUACAACACUGGGCUAAAUAGACCAGUGGUCUGGCUCAGUAUAAUGCAAAUGGUUCUCUGGUAGGGUCGGCAGGGUGCAAUCCAGUUGUCUGAAUUGCAUAGAUUAAAAUGUGUGAGCAACAGGUAUGGGUGUCUGACCAUCUGCGUCAAAAAAAGAAGAGGACUGAACUACUGAUCCCUUCCAACUCUCUUGAGUGUGGUAAGCUCCAGUAUUAAGUACAAAUGUGUUACUUGCUGGCAAUGGAUGUGCUUCAUGAAACAACAGGUACUGUAUGUUACAUUGAAUUGCACAGGGGCUAACAAUGAAGCUCACAUAUGAUACUGUGAUAAGCCAGCUGCUAACUACAUACACUGCAGGGAUUUGGGUGCACUUUGCUUUCAACCCUAUCCUGUUCCCUUCAGCUAAAGUAUAAAUUUAAUUCCACCCAGUCUAGCAUGCCCCCUCCAGAAAGAC